This 820-nucleotide ribosomal RNA is filed under the name Triticum aestivum (bread wheat). RNAcentral describes it as "partial small subunit ribosomal RNA". Lineage: Eukaryota; Viridiplantae; Streptophyta; Magnoliopsida; Poales; Poaceae. The record is from RNAcentral.
AUCCAGAGUUUCAAAUGGGGCUGGAAAGGGAGUCUUUCAGAUGUGGAAACGCCUGAGGCCUGAAAAGGGGAGGCGGAAUUGCGGACCUCCCCUCUGAUUUCAAGGAGAAGCCUCCCACCGGCACGGCGGCACCGUUUCCUCUCUGCGGCAGCAACUCCUCCCAUCCAUCCCUCGUCCAUCCUGGCUCAGGCGCGAGAGGGUGGAGAUGAGGAGGAAGGCGCUCGCACGGGGCUUCUCCGGCGACGGCGUCCUCCGCCGCAGCCGCCCGCUCCCAGCGCGCCGCCCGCCACCGAAGGGGACAAUAGCACGAGCAAGAAUAAGAAAGGCGAGAUCGGCAGGACCAUCCGAGACAGGUUAUGGUCUUUCUCUUUCCCCAGAAGCCGCCUCUCCUGCUGGACGAGCCAGAGCCACCCGAUCCGGCGGAGCAGGAGGGGGAGCGGCACGGCCGGCGACGAACAUGGCACGCCGGUGAACGUGCCGGUGACGGCCAAGGCAAUCAGGCCCCCCUCAAGGAAGGUGGUCGCGGCAGGGACCAGAUCCCUGAUCGAACGCAACGAUUUCUACAGCCAAGAAUGCAACACGCACAAGUAGGGAGCCUGUUUUUUUCUCUUCUCGGAUGCUAUCCCUGUUUUGGGUGUGAUACUAAAAUUGUAGGACGAGGCAUUGCCCCCUUUGGGACGUAUACGAGUUUCCCCGGGUAAUAUACGUACCAACUCGAAGCUUUGUACUAGUACAAAAUUGUGCAAGUUGAUGAGUUUUCAUGAGUUCCAAACCAUGAAACCAUAGCCAGAAUCCAUGCCGUGUUGCUUGUAUGUCUACC